GUCCCUAUAGUUCAACUGGAUAGAACGCAGGCCUCCGAAGCCUGAAAUCGAGGUUCGAGUCCUCAUAGGGACA
Molecule: transfer RNA, 73 nt
Filed under: bacterium
Lineage: Bacteria
Also listed under: 1 other name
Description: tRNA-Arg
Rfam family: tRNA
About the family: Transfer RNA (tRNA) molecules are approximately 80 nucleotides in length. Their secondary structure includes four short double-helical elements and three loops (D, anti-codon, and T loops).
Source: RNAcentral